CAGGGUAUAGCUUAAGUCAAAGCCCUUCGCUUACACCGAACUAAUGUUCACUAAUAUGAACUACUCUGAG
Molecule: transfer RNA, 70 nt
Filed under: Pristimantis sagittulus
Lineage: Eukaryota; Metazoa; Chordata; Amphibia; Anura; Strabomantidae
Description: tRNA-Val
Source: RNAcentral